UACAGAGGUCUCAAGCGUUGUUCGGAUUCAUUGGGCGUAAAGGGCGCGUAGGCGGGUCUGCAAGUCCGGGGUGAAAGCCCCCAGCUCAACUGGGGAAGUGCCUUGGAAACUGCGGGUCUUGAGGGAGGUAGGGGCAUGUGGAACUUCGGGUGGAGCGGUGAAAUGCGUUGAUAUCCGAAGGAACGCCGGUGGCGAAAGCGACGUGCUGGAUCUCUUCUGACGCUGAGGCGCGAAAGCCAGGGUAGCGAACGGG
Molecule: ribosomal RNA, 253 nt
Filed under: uncultured bacterium
Lineage: Bacteria
Description: partial 16S ribosomal RNA
Rfam family: Bacterial small subunit ribosomal RNA
Source: RNAcentral